AGGAAGACUGAAGGAAGAGGUAGACAGACAGGUAGACAGACAGGUAGACUGAAGGAAGAGGUCUACAGACAGGUAGACUGAAGGAAGAGGUUGACAGACAGGUUGACAGACAGGUUGA
Molecule: long non-coding RNA, 118 nt
Organism: Coregonus clupeaformis (lake whitefish)
Lineage: Eukaryota; Metazoa; Chordata; Actinopteri; Salmoniformes; Salmonidae
Exons: 2
Source: RefSeq, a predicted model, not a curated record